Molecule: ribosomal RNA, 596 nt
Filed under: Nannocharax machadoi
Lineage: Eukaryota; Metazoa; Chordata; Actinopteri; Characiformes; Distichodontidae
Description: partial 16S large subunit ribosomal RNA
Rfam family: Bacterial large subunit ribosomal RNA
Source: RNAcentral
AAAAACAUCGCCUCCCGCAAACCCUACGUAUAGGAGGUCUUGCCUGCCCAGUGAACUAGUUUUAAACGGCCGCGGUAUCUUGACCGUGCAAAGGUAGCGCAAUCACUUGUCUUUUAAAUGAAGACCUGUAUGAAUGGUGGAACGAGGGCUUAACUGUCUCCCUCCUUAAGUCAGUGAAAUUGAUCUAUCCGUGCAGAAGCGGGUAUAAACAUACAAGACGAGAAGACCCUUUGGAGCUUAAGACACUAAGACCAAUUAUGUUAAAAAUUUAUAACAAAAUAAACUAAACCCAAUAGUACCUGGUCCCAGUCUUCGGUUGGGGCGACCGCGGGGGAAAACAAAGCCCCCAUGUGGAGUGGGAACCUCCCCUAAAACUAAGAGGGACACCUCUAAGACACAGAACAUCUGACCAUAAUAGAUCCGGCCUCACGGCCGAUCAACGGACCAAGUUACCCUAGGGAUAACAGCGCAAUCCCCUCCCAGAGUCCCUAUCGACAAGGGGGUUUACGACCUCGAUGUUGGAUCAGGACAUCCUAAUGGUGCAGCCGCUAUUAAGGGUUCGUUUGUUCAACGAUUAAAGUCCUACGUGAUCUGAG